Molecule: ribosomal RNA, 119 nt
Filed under: Pteropus alecto (black flying fox)
Lineage: Eukaryota; Metazoa; Chordata; Mammalia; Chiroptera; Pteropodidae
Source: RNAcentral
AUCUAAGGCCAUGCUGCCCUGAACAAGCCCAAUCCCGUCUGAUCUCGGAAGCUAAGCAAGGUCAGACCUGGUUAGUACUUGGAUGAGAGACCACCUAGGAAGACCAGGUGCAUAAAAAC